CAGCACAUGAGUAGCAAUACGAUGGUGGCGACCGGCGCACGGGUGAGUAACACGUAUGCAACCUACCUUUAACAGGGGAAUAACCCGUUGAAAAACGGACUAAUACUCCAUAACACAGGGGUCCCGCAUGGGAAUAUUUGUUAAAGAUUAAUCGGUUGAAGAUGGGCAUGCGUUCCAUUAGCUUGUGGUGAGGUAACGGCUCACCAAGGCCACGAUGGAUAGGGGAACUGAGAGGUUUAUCCCCCACACUGGAACUGAGACACGGUCCAGACUCCUACGGGAGGCAGCAGUGAGGAAUAUUGGUCAAUGGAGGCAACUCUGAACCAGCCAAGUCGCGGUUAGAAGGAUGAAGGUCUUAUGGACUGUAAACUUCUUUUGCAAGGGGAAUAAAGUGGGGGACGUGUCCUCCUUUGCAUGUACCUCGCGAAUAAGGAUCGGCUAACUCCGUGCCAGCCGCCGC
This 460-nucleotide ribosomal RNA is filed under the name uncultured bacterium. Its description in RNAcentral is "bacterial SSU rRNA". It matches the Rfam family "Bacterial small subunit ribosomal RNA", at positions 69 to 518 of the family's 1533-position model. The record is from RNAcentral.